This 240-nucleotide ribosomal RNA is filed under the name uncultured bacterium. Its description in RNAcentral is "partial 16S ribosomal RNA". It matches the Rfam family "Bacterial small subunit ribosomal RNA", at positions 91 to 334 of the family's 1533-position model. The record is from RNAcentral.
ACGAGUGGCGGACGGGUGAGUAAUGCUUGGGAAUCUAGCUUAUGGAGGGGGGUAACUACGGGAAACUGUAGCUAAUACCGCGUAAUAUCGGAAGAUUAAAGGGUGGGACUUUCGGGCCACCUGCCAUAAGAUGAGCCCAAGUGGGAUUAGGUAGUUGGUUAGGUAAAGGCUGACCAAGCCGACGAUCUCUAGCUGGUCUGAAAGGAUGACCAGCCACACUGGAACUGAGACACGGUCCAG